AUUGAACGCUGGCGGCAUGCCUUACACAUGCAAGUCGAACGGCAGCAUGGAAGAGCUUGCUCUUCUGAUGGCGAGUGGCGAACGGGUGAGUAAAGCAUCGGAACGUACCGUGUAAUGGGGGAUAACGUAGCGAAAGUUACGCUAAUACCGCAUACGACCUGAGGGUGAAAGCAGGGGAUCGCAAGACAUUGCGUUAUACGAACGGCCGGUGUGAGAUGAGCUAGUUGGUGAGGGAAAGGCUCACCAAGGCGACGAUCUGUAGCGGGUCUGAGAGGAUGAUCCGCCACACUGGGACUGAAACACGGCCCAGACUCCUACGGGAGGCAGCAGUGGGGAAUUUUGGACAAUGGGGGCAACCCUGAUCCAGCCAUGCCGCGUGAGUGAAGAAGGCCUUCGGGUUGUAAAGCUCUUUCGGCCGGGAAGAAAUCGCACAGGCUAAUACUCUGUGUGGAUGACGGUACCGGCAUAAGAAGCACCGGCUAACUACGUGCCAGCCGCCGCGGUAA
This 506-nucleotide ribosomal RNA is filed under the name uncultured bacterium. RNAcentral's name for it is "partial 16S ribosomal RNA". It matches the Rfam family "Bacterial small subunit ribosomal RNA", at positions 30 to 523 of the family's 1533-position model. The record is from RNAcentral.